This 349-nucleotide ribosomal RNA is filed under the name Gloeochaete wittrockiana. RNAcentral describes it as "partial Bacterial small subunit ribosomal RNA". It matches the Rfam family "Bacterial small subunit ribosomal RNA", at positions 1 to 356 of the family's 1533-position model. The record is from RNAcentral. Lineage: Eukaryota; Glaucocystophyceae; Gloeochaetales; Gloeochaetaceae.
UGAAGAGUUUGAUCCUGGCUCAGAUUGAACGCUGGCGGCAUGCCUUACACAUGCAAGUCGAACGGCAGCACGGGAGCAAUCCUGGUGGCGAGUGGCGAACGGGUGAGUAAUACAUCGGAACGUGCCCAAUCGUGGGGGAUAACGCAGCGAAAGCUGUGCUAAUACCGCAUACGAUCUACGGAUGAAAGCAGGGGAUCGCAAGACCUUGCGCGAAUGGAGCGGCCGAUGGCAGAUUAGGUAGUUGGUGAGGUAAAGGCUCACCAAGCCUUCGAUCUGUAGCUGGUCUGAGAGGACGACCAGCCACACUGGGACUGAGACACGGCCCAGACUCCUACGGGAGGCAGCAGUG